Long non-coding RNA from Patella vulgata (common limpet), 443 nucleotides. RefSeq lists it as uncharacterized. The transcript is spliced from 3 exons. Lineage: Eukaryota; Metazoa; Mollusca; Gastropoda; Patellidae. The record is from RefSeq and is a predicted model, not a curated record.
ACAAUAUCGUCAGGGUAUAUAUUGUAACUAUAUUUUGGUAUUUUGAUAGUUAAAACUAAUUAACUGAUUGAAUUUGAAGAUGUUAAUUACAGUAGCUGUCAUCUAUUUUUUGGUACAGGCUGUGAGAACUGCAUCCCAACAGAUACGACUAGUUGGAGGAUCUGAACCACACGAAGGAAGAGUUGAAGUGUUUCAUCAAAAUAUAUGGGGCACAGUCUGUCAUCAUUCUUGGGACGAUAAAGAUGCGUCCGUUGUUUGUCGACAACUUGGAUUUAGCCCAACUGGGGCGGUUGCUCUCAAAUAUGCCAGUUUUGGACGAGGUACUGGUAAAAUCUGGUUAGAUAAUGUUAAUUGUCAAGCAUCUAACAUGGCACUAGCUGAAUGUUCUCAUCCUGGUUGGGGAAAAGCACGUUGUUAUUAUGGACAUGACGCGUCGGUGAUUU